GUAGUCUUCCGGCACUGGGCUUCCGGGAGGCCAUGUUGCUUUGCGCAGCAUGCCGGGAGGUAUAGUCUUUUGGCAAUGGUUUUCCCGGUGGCCAUUUUACUCUGCAGGGCAUGCCGGGAGGUGUAGUCUUCCCAUCCUGGGCUUCUGGGAGACCAUGUUGCGCCUCUCGAGGCGGCGGGAGGUGCAGGUCUCUGUCAGCGGGGUUCCCAGGAGCCGGCCGCGUUGUGGUCUGUGGCAGGCCUGGAGCUGUAGUUCCAGGUGCCUUCCCUGUCCUGCAGCAGUGGCCUGCUGUGUCUGUUCCUUACUGGACAUGUGCUGCUCAUACGAGAGUCCCGGUACUAUAUAGAGUUGUGAUCAGUGGCGCAGAGUCUAGUUGGAGGCCUGUAGCUAGCGGUGUCCCCCAGGAGUCAGUCCUGGGUCCAGUCUUGUUCAACUUCUUCAUCAAUGACCUGGAUGAAGGCACAGAGUGCACCCUCAGCAAGUUUGCUGACGAUACCAAACUGGGAGGAG
Molecule: long non-coding RNA, 510 nt
Filed under: Apteryx haastii (Great spotted kiwi)
Lineage: Eukaryota; Metazoa; Chordata; Aves; Apterygiformes; Apterygidae
Description: lncRNA (ENSAHAG00000011041.1)
Source: RNAcentral